AUGCUGAAAAGAGGUGAACUGUGGUCAGAAUUCAGCAGUCUGCUGAAAAAAGGUGAACAGUGUAGAGGAGAAGAUGCAAGAAAGUCAUAAGCGAACGGAUGUAUUGGUAAAACAGGAAGAGAUACAAGAGACUCCCCACAUUUUGUUUUUAUUGUUUUGUCCAGCUACUUGACUAUUUUGAACUCUUCUUAUUUUUAAUUACAUCUACUUCCUUGUUUUGUACUCUUCUUGUAGAAGAUCACCAAAGAAUCG
RNAcentral lists this long non-coding RNA (252 nucleotides) under Helianthus annuus (common sunflower). Its description in RNAcentral is "hypothetical non coding rna". Lineage: Eukaryota; Viridiplantae; Streptophyta; Magnoliopsida; Asterales; Asteraceae. The record is from RNAcentral.